UAAAGAAUUUCGGUAUGGGAUGGGGAUGCGUUCCAUUAGUUAGUUGGCGGGGUAACGGCCCACCAAGACAACGAUGGAUAGGGGUUCUGAGAGGAAGGUCCCCCACAUUGGAACUGAGACACGGUCCAAACUCCUACGGGAGGCAGCAGUGAGGAAUAUUGGUCAAUGGACGAGAGUCUGAACCAGCCAAGUAGCGUGAAGGAUGACUGCCCUAUGGGUUGUAAACUUCUUUUAUAUGGGAAUAAAAUGUUCCACGUGUGGGAUUUUGUAUGUACCAUAUGAAUAAGGAUCGGCUAACUCCGUGCCAGCAGCCGCGGUAAUACGGAGGAUCCGAGCGUUAUCCGGAUUUAUUGGGUUUAAAGGGAGCGUAGGUGGAUUGUUAAGUCAGUUGUGAAAGUUUGCGGCUCAACCGUAAAAUUGCAGUUGAAACUGGCAGUCUUGAGUACAGUAGAGGUGGGCGGAAUUCGUGGUGUAGCGGUGAAAUGCUUAGAUAUCACGAAGAACUCCGAUUGCGAAGGCAGCUCACUGGACUGCAACUGACACUGAGGCUCGAAAGUGUGGGUAUCAAACAGGAUUAGAUACCCUGGUAGUCCACACAGUAAACGAUGAAUACUCGCUGUUUGCGAUAUACAGUAAGCGGCCA
This 643-nucleotide ribosomal RNA is filed under the name uncultured bacterium. Its description in RNAcentral is "bacterial SSU rRNA". It matches the Rfam family "Bacterial small subunit ribosomal RNA", at positions 202 to 849 of the family's 1533-position model. The record is from RNAcentral.